GCUGUAUGUAGCCCAGUUGGUAGAGGCAUCGCCAGUUCAGAUAGCGAAGGUCGCUGGUUCAAAUCCAGGCUGCGGUG
Molecule: non-coding RNA, 77 nt
Organism: Phthorimaea operculella (potato tuberworm)
Lineage: Eukaryota; Metazoa; Arthropoda; Insecta; Lepidoptera; Gelechiidae
Source: the annotation of a GenBank genome assembly